AAAGUCGCCUGGGGCCUCGGAGAUGAAAGAUGGACCUGAACAGGAGCAGAGACGCAGAGCUGGCCACACAUGGAAGGUAAUGCCAGGACAAAUCGGGAUGAACUAGAAAGUUGGUUGGAAAUCUGCCCAGCUAUAGGCUUAAGCUUUAAAAUACCCGAUAGCCUCUGUGUCAUCAUUUGUACUGCUUCUGGGUCAGAAAGUCCUGCUAUAUAACUGAAAUCACACGGGGGGCCUCUUUAGAAGAAACUGACCAGUGCGGAAGGAACAAUAUCCUCAGAUCAUGGAGAGCAAGAGAAGGAAACACAGAAAAUAACCAUGAGGCCUGAGAAAUGUUUUGAAUGUAUGUGAGAUUUAUCACAUCCUUCCUGCAACCGCUCCUGUCACCCUCCCUGAAGGCUGUCAAGAAAGGACAAGGAGACCAGCAUGUGGUUUUAGUUUCUGCCACAAGGCUCACAUGAGUCCCUCUGUAUCGCCUGGCUGGCCCUUCCUUCCUCCGCAUCCAGGCUAACUUUAAAAUCCAACCUGAAGGUUUUAAAAAUCCAAUUAUAAGUUAGCCUAUAUAUUAGAUGGGGGGGGGGGGGAGGAAACUUCAUAUUAAAAGCCCUGUAUAAAAUGCACUCUUUACUGCAUUGAGUUUGGUCAAGAGUUUUCGUGGCUGCCUGUUAGUUUGUGUUACCAAAACGAAACAUUGAAACAUCGGCAUGGAAGUUUCUUCUAGGAGCCUGCCCCCAGUUGGUAAGUGAGGAAACAUGCAUGCCCCUGCCUGAAUUAAGGGGGAGGGUUGGGUACAAAAGCAGGAAGUACGUAAAGAUAUGUGUUUGCUUCUAAUUGGACCUGAUGGGAAAGCCAAAUGGCUUUAUGGGUAUACGCCUUUAGAUGACUCUGCAAACUACCUCUGCCGCCAUUUUCUGGGGACCCGGAGUGGUUCUGGGCAAAAUCCUUCAUCUUGGCUGAAUGAAAAAGAGAAAGAAAGAAAGAAAACAUGACUGGUCCUGGUUUUCGGCGCCAUGUGUAUGAGAAAAAGAAAUAAAAAGAAAGGAAGAGGACUGGUCCCAGGUAUAGUGGAAGAGAAAGUUUGUGGAUUGAAAGGGAGGCAGAGCCACGGGGCAGAAUCUUCUUGGAGCGUCCAGAAUGAACAUGUCCCUAGCUUUUUUAGGAGAUGGAGGAGAGGGAGGGAGGAAAGAGAGGUACCAGGUGCAGCAGCCCGGGUUGGCAUUUUGUCUAGGCUCUGCCCACAGUUUCUGGCAACAGCCAGGUAUACCUGACUCACUAUAAAAGGGACUGCUUGCCCCCUCCUCACUUUUGCUCUCUGCUCUUCUCCUCUUGCCCUUGCUCCCUUACUCACUUCCUCCCUCUCCUCAUUCCCCUCCCUACUCUCCACGUGCUCAUGGCCAGCCACUACUAUCUCUGCCUUUCUCUGUCUCUACUCCCUCAACUCACAUCCCUAUGCCCUACAUUCUAUUCUAUAUUAUACCAUCCCGUGGCUGGUACCUCAGGGGGAAGGGAUGCCUCAGCAUGAGCCAGCAAAGGGACCCUUUCCCCAACACCUUACUAUGCCUCCACCAAACAUAUCCCUGCCUUCUUCUCUUUCUUUUUAUAAAAUACAACAGCCAGGAAGCCCAAAGGAGAGAGAGAUGGGUCUGGUAACCAAAAUGGUUGAAUUGGAAGUGCAGUUGGGGAAAGGUGGCCCAACACUGAGCUGGAGAGUUCAGGGUAGGAGCAGAACAUGCCUUCCAGGAACGCCCUGGAACUGGCAGGGACUGAGGGAUGCAUGGAGAAACUAGCAGCUCAUGUCUGGUUUGAUAUGAUAACUAGGCACUUUAUCCAUUUGCUUGCUUCAAUUUUGACUCAAAACUUGUGGAACUGACUCUUGUGAUUCUCGGGUUGAACAGGGAGGAUAAUAGAACCUCUGUGAUAGAUGAAUGAAAAUAUAUACCCAAAUGUUUGGUUCCAUGCAGGAGGAAAACCAAAUAGCCUUAGAACUCAUGGAAUUUGUCCCACCGGUUAGCACAACCACAUCAAGAGGCAGAACCCCGACUGUCCUGAGGACUUCUUGCUGUUGUGGAGUUUUGCUCUGCUCACCGUCUUCAAGAUCACCACAUCCCUCUUGGUCCGUGAGUUGCAUGAAAACUCCAAAAAGGCUGCCAGCCCCUCACUGGACAGUAUCAUUGGUAUCAAGAAUAGUGAUUGCUCUUUUUCAAGUGUUGCAGCUGGAGCAGAUUACUGAUUCAACCACCACCCUCAGAAAGGACAUAGAGCUGUAGAUUGCUGGUAAUGUCCGGCACUCUUAGAAAGAAUGUGGAAAUGUCGGUUGUAGUAAAGUUAGGCUAAGAUGCUUUUGCUAGCGGCUUGGAAGUAGAAAACCGUGGGGAACAAUUGGAAAUUCAGAGAGGCACACUCUUGAUAGUUGAGCUAGACCCUUUUGAUGUCAGGGACAAGAACAAUGGCAACCCAGCUAAUACUGGCUGAGGUGGGUAUGCCUGUUUGGCUGAAGCAGCGCUGGUGAUCAAGGUGAUGACUAAGAUCUUAUACCCAUCUUACCCUCAGAUUCCUGACAGGAUUUAAUAAAAAAUUGUU
RNAcentral lists this long non-coding RNA (2577 nucleotides) under Mus musculus (house mouse). Its description in RNAcentral is "long non-coding RNA chr11:83223575-83226152". The record is from RNAcentral. Lineage: Eukaryota; Metazoa; Chordata; Mammalia; Rodentia; Muridae.